CAGAUAUGCACACAGACCCUCACAGGUGCCUGCCUCUGUCUCUGUUUCUCUCCUUGUCAGAGACAGACAGCAGUCCUACAGGAGGUGGGCAGAACUCCAGCUACCCAAGAGGAGACCCCAGAGGAAAGAAAAGCUGGUGGAGGUGCCUGGCUCGGUGGCCUAUUGAGAAAGAGCUGUCCCUGAGGAGCCUGAUGGGCGUCCUGGGGCUGGGGAAGCAGACAGAGGUCCUGAAAGGACAGUUGUCAGGGCAGCUACACAAAGGCCAUCACCAGGGUCUAGCUGGAACACAGUGGGGGAAAUCCCCCAGAGGUCUGAGAACAGUAGCCUGCAGUACUUUCUUUACCUUCUUCUAGGUCAGUGAUUGUCAAAAUGUGGUCCCUGGACCAACAGCAUCACUUGAGAAUUUAUUAAAGCUGCAGAUUAUUUGGGCCUCACUCCAGAUCUUCUGAAUCAGAACCUCGGGGGCUGGAGCCCAGUGAUUUAUAUUUUUGCAAGCUCUCCAGAUGAUUCCGAGGCACUCUCACAUUUGAAAACCAUUGCUGUGGGACAAGUGUUCCUUCUCACGAUGUCCUGUGGAAGGCAGGAUGCAAAAGUUGGCUAAGAGACGGGCCAGCUGAAUUCCCCCCCCAGCGCCUACUAAAGAGAAGCAGGGGUUGGAAAUUUAGAUGGCUUUGAGCCAGAAGUCAACUGUGAAUGUCUGAACAUUUCUUAGAGACCUCUAAUGAGGCUGGAUUCUGCUCCAAAGAAGCUGUUCCUUAGAGGUCAGUUUGAAGCUGAACUGAACACAACCACCAACAAAAAUAAAGGAGUUUGCCUAUGUGCUGGAGGGGAUUUCUCCACAGAAUAUUAAGUGUUCUUUCUAUAUGAAAACAGAAGGUCAAGGUCAUGCCAAUGUGUGGCUUAGAGAGUACAUUGUAUGUUUUGGCCCCAAAUAUCUCAUGAGAGACCAAAGUUAAUUUUGUGCCAGUCAACCUGAUCCAGUCAGAAGAAUGUUCUAGUAAUUUAUAAAUGUAUCACUCUAAAGAUAGUUGAGCCAAUGAUAGACUUUAAUUCCUCUACUUGGUUCUUAAAAGGGAACAGUGGAAUUUAAUUCCUUCCACUUAUUUCUAAACGUGGG
Molecule: long non-coding RNA, 1117 nt
Filed under: Suricata suricatta (meerkat)
Lineage: Eukaryota; Metazoa; Chordata; Mammalia; Carnivora; Herpestidae
Description: lncRNA (ENSSSUG00005000201.1)
Source: RNAcentral